GGUUGUGGCUCAUCGGUAGAGUGCUCGCCUGGCAUGCAUGAGGCCCUGAGUUCCAUCCUCAACACCA
RNAcentral lists this transfer RNA (67 nucleotides) under Marmota monax (woodchuck). Its description in RNAcentral is "tRNA.Ala". Lineage: Eukaryota; Metazoa; Chordata; Mammalia; Rodentia; Sciuridae. The record is from RNAcentral.